RNAcentral lists this ribosomal RNA (234 nucleotides) under uncultured Lactobacillus sp. Its description in RNAcentral is "partial 16S ribosomal RNA". It matches the Rfam family "Bacterial small subunit ribosomal RNA", at positions 128 to 355 of the family's 1533-position model. Lineage: Bacteria; Bacillati; Bacillota; Bacilli; Lactobacillales; Lactobacillaceae. The record is from RNAcentral.
GCCCAAGAGAUCGGGAUAACACCUGGAAACAGAUGCUAAUACCGGAUAACAACAGAUGAUGCCUAUCAACUGUUUAAAAGAUGGUUCUGCUAUCACUCUUGGAUGGACCUGCGGUGCAUUAGCUAGUUGGUAGGGUAACGGCCUACCAAGGCGAUGAUGCAUAGCCGAGUUGAGAGACUGAUCGGCCACAUUGGGACUGAGACACGGCCCAAACUCCUACGGGAGGCAGCAGUC